UGGAAAGCACAUUAUGGACUGACAGUCGC
This 29-nucleotide non-coding RNA is filed under the name Mus musculus (house mouse). Lineage: Eukaryota; Metazoa; Chordata; Mammalia; Rodentia; Muridae. The record is from RNAcentral.